Molecule: transfer RNA, 63 nt
Filed under: Phrixothrix hirtus
Lineage: Eukaryota; Metazoa; Arthropoda; Insecta; Coleoptera; Phengodidae
Description: tRNA-Leu
Source: RNAcentral
AUCUAAUGUGGCAGAAUAGUGCAAUGAAUUUAAGAUUCAUAUAUAAAAUUAAAUUUCUCUAGA